Molecule: ribosomal RNA, 881 nt
Filed under: Erysipelothrix sp.
Lineage: Bacteria; Bacillati; Bacillota; Erysipelotrichia; Erysipelotrichales; Erysipelotrichaceae
Description: bacterial SSU rRNA
Rfam family: Bacterial small subunit ribosomal RNA
Source: RNAcentral
CAAAUGGAGAGUUUGAUCCUGGCUCAGGAUGAACGCUGGCGGCGUGCCUAAUACAUGCAAGUCGAACGAAGAAGCAAGCUUGCUUGCUUCUUAGUGGCGAACGGGUGAGUAAUACAUAAAUAAUCUACCAUAAUGACUGGGAUAACCAAUGGAAACGCUGGCUAAUACCGGAUAGGUAAAACGAAGGCAUCUUUGUUUUAUUAAAGUAGGGCUACUACACAAUAUGAUGAGUUUAUGGCGCAUUAGCUAGUUGGUGAGGUAACGGCUCACCAAGGCGAUGAUGCGUAGCCGACCUGAGAGGGUGACCGGCCACACUGGGACUGAGACACGGCCCAGACUCCUACGGGAGGCAGCAGUAGGGAAUUUUCGGCAAUGAGCGCAAGCUUGACCGAGCAACGCCGCGUGAGUGAAGAAGGCCUUCGGGUUGUAAAGCUCUGUUGUAAGGGAAGAACACUUUUUAGAGGAAAUGCUAAGAAGCUGACGGUACCUUACCAGAAAGCCACGGCUAACUACGUGCCAGCAGCCGCGGUAAUACGUAGGUGGCAAGCGUUAUCCGGAAUUAUUGGGCGUAAAGGGUGCGUAGGCGGUUUAUUAAGUCUGUGGUGAAAGUGCGGGGCUCAACCCCGUAUGGCCACAGAAACUGAUAGACUAGAGUACAGGAGAGGGCAGUGGAAUUCCAUGUGUAGCGGUAAAAUGCGUAGAUAUAUGGAGGAACACCGGUGGCGAAGGCGGCUGCCUGGCCUGUAACUGACGCUGAGGCACGAAAGCGUGGGGAGCAAAUAGGAUUAGAUACCCUAGUAGUCCACGCUGUAAACGAUGAUUACUAAGUGUUGGAGAAAUUCAGUGCUGCAGUUAACGCAAUAAGUAAUCCGCCUGGGGAG